RNAcentral lists this ribosomal RNA (326 nucleotides) under Pseudo-nitzschia sp. RNAcentral describes it as "LSU rRNA". It matches the Rfam family "Eukaryotic large subunit ribosomal RNA", at positions 207 to 544 of the family's 3401-position model. The record is from RNAcentral. Lineage: Eukaryota; Bacillariophyta; Bacillariophyceae; Bacillariales; Bacillariaceae.
AGAGGGUGACACUCCCGUCCGCCUGGCAGAGUGAGCCAUUUGUCAACGAGUCGAGUUGUUUGGGAUUGCAGCUCUAAUUUGGUGGUAAAUUCCAUCUAAAGCUAAAUAUUAGUGGGAGACCGAUAGCGUACAAGUACCGUGAGGGAAAGAUGCAAAGAACUUUGAAAAGAGAGUUAAAGGGUACCUGAAAUUGCUGAAACGGAAGCGAAGGAAACCAGUGUUUGUUGGUUCAUAUUUCCUUGGCCACUUGUGGUUUGGGCGCUGUGAGCUUGCGUGGGUUUGGGUUGGUUGAUCCCUUUGGAAGAGCGCAGUCAGAGUUGAUGUCU